RNAcentral lists this ribosomal RNA (376 nucleotides) under uncultured bacterium. RNAcentral describes it as "bacterial SSU rRNA". It matches the Rfam family "Bacterial small subunit ribosomal RNA", at positions 335 to 704 of the family's 1533-position model. The record is from RNAcentral.
ACUCCUACGGGAGGCAGCAGUGGGGAAUAUUGCACAAUGGGCGCAAGCCUGAUGCAGCCAUGCCGCGUGUGUGAAGAAGGCCUUCGGGUUGUAAAGCACUUUCAGUCGUGAGGAAGGUAGUGUAGUUAAUAGCUGCAUUAUUUGACGUUAGCGACAGAAGAAGCACCGGCUAACUCCGUGCCAGCAGCCGCGGUAAUACGUAGGGGGCGAGCGUUGUCCGGAAUCAUUGGGCGUAAAGCGCGUGUAGGCGGUUCAGUAAGUCUGCUGUGAAAGUCCAGGGCUCAACCCUGGGAUGCCGGUGGAUACUGCUGAACUAGAGUCUGGAAGGGCGAGUGGAAUUCCUGGUGUAGCGGUGGAAUGCGCAGAUAUCAGGAGG